This 244-nucleotide ribosomal RNA is filed under the name Draconarius picta. Its description in RNAcentral is "partial 12S ribosomal RNA". The record is from RNAcentral. Lineage: Eukaryota; Metazoa; Arthropoda; Arachnida; Araneae; Agelenidae.
CACGUUAAAUUUCACUUCAAUCUUAAAAUUUAUAUAUCGCCAUCUUAAGAAUUAAUUAAAAAUAUUUUCCAAAAAAUAAAUAAAAAGUUAGGUCAAGGUGUAAUUUAUAUUAAAGAAUGAGAUGAAUUACAUUAAAUAUAAUUUCAAGCCUAUAUAUUAAUACAUUUAUACAAAUAAGAAUUUAAAAGAAAUAUUAAAACAAUAUUAUAAUAUGACAUAGACAAUAAAUGUGCACACAUCGCCC